UUUAACCUAGUUUAAAUUAUGAAAACGGGAGCUUGUCAGGUUUCAGAUACAAUUUACUUUGUGGUUAAAU
This 70-nucleotide transfer RNA is filed under the name Berthellina sp. TLT-2006. Its description in RNAcentral is "tRNA-Asp". Lineage: Eukaryota; Metazoa; Mollusca; Gastropoda; Pleurobranchida; Pleurobranchidae. The record is from RNAcentral.